Molecule: long non-coding RNA, 131 nt
Organism: Sander lucioperca (pikeperch)
Lineage: Eukaryota; Metazoa; Chordata; Actinopteri; Perciformes; Percidae
Exons: 3
Source: RefSeq, a predicted model, not a curated record
UUGGUUGUUAAAGUGGUAAUGCUGCGUUCCAUGCAACCCGUAACUCGUGUUUUCACAACCUUCUACCUGUGAAAGUGCCCUGGAACGGCAGUCAAACCCGUAACUUACUACUCGUGAACUCAUACCAGAUC